AGAGCGAACGCUGGCGGCAGGCCUAACACAUGCAAGUCGAACGGACUCUUCGGAGUUAGUGGCGGACGGGUGAGUAACACGCGGGAACGUGCCUUUAGGUUCGGAAUAGCUCCUGGAAACGGGUGGUAAUACCGAAUGUGCCCUUCGGGGGAAAGAUUUAUCGCCUUUAGAGCGGCCCGCGUCUGAUUAGCUUGUUGGUGAGGUAAUGGCUCACCGAGGCUACGAUCAGUAGCUGGUCUGAGAGGAUGACCAGCCACAUUGGGACUGAGACACGGCCCAAACUCCUACGGGAGGCAGCAGUGGGGAAUCUUGCGCAAUGGGCGAAAGCCUGACGCAGCCAUGCCGCGUGUAUGAUGAAGGUCUUAGGAUUAGUAAAAUACUUUCACCGGUGAAGAUAAUGACUGUAGCCGGAGAAGAAGCCCGGCUAACUUCGUGCCAGCCAGCCGC
Molecule: ribosomal RNA, 447 nt
Filed under: uncultured soil bacterium
Lineage: Bacteria
Description: bacterial SSU rRNA
Rfam family: Bacterial small subunit ribosomal RNA
Source: RNAcentral